AGCCCCAUAGACAAGCGGUUAAGUCGUCACCCUUUCACGGUGGAGUCACGGGUUCGAAUCCCGUUGGGGUUACUA
Molecule: transfer RNA, 75 nt
Filed under: TM7 phylum sp. oral taxon 352
Lineage: Bacteria; Candidatus Saccharimonadota
Description: tRNA-Glu
Rfam family: tRNA
About the family: Transfer RNA (tRNA) molecules are approximately 80 nucleotides in length. Their secondary structure includes four short double-helical elements and three loops (D, anti-codon, and T loops).
Source: RNAcentral